Molecule: long non-coding RNA, 915 nt
Organism: Coturnix japonica (Japanese quail)
Lineage: Eukaryota; Metazoa; Chordata; Aves; Galliformes; Phasianidae
Source: Ensembl
AUUAAGCAAAAGCAGGCUAUGGAAGAGCUCCAAGUCACAGGCUAGCAGCUCUUUGAGUUCAUGCUGCUUUAGGAUAAAAAAAACCUCUAUUCCAUGUUGUUUUGAAGAGGGCUAUCCAGGAGAAUCCAAAGUGAAGCCCAGGAGUGAAAUCAAAAUUAAGCACGCAGUAAAAAGUUUCAAUACUCAAAUGAGAAUUUUGGUUCUUUUUUCUGAAGCAGUAAAGGUAAUGAUUUGUUAAGCAGUAAGGACAUGCCCUUUAAUUCCUAGGCAAAGGUGCCAGAGGAUACUGGGAUGAAAAACUGCAUUACUAUGAUGCGAGAUCUGUCUGCAUCUAUGCAUUGUCCCAAGAGGCUAAGGACUGGAUACCUCUGAAUGUGCAACACUACAUACAAAGUGAGAUUCAUUUAGCUUUCUCUGGAUGUGUAUUAUUUUUAGCUUACAUUAAAUUAGCCCAUCUGUUGGUAUUACUAGGAUUCUUAAAAAGAGACUUACAAGAGAGAAACAUUCUGUUUUUAUUGUGAAGGUACGUUCAUACAGUCUCCAUUGUUUUACUUAAACUAAUUACACACCUUUUCCAUAUUUAAAAGAAACAUGUGUAUUUUAUUACAUUUUCAUAUGGAUGAGGCAUUCUUUUUUGACAGUUUACGUAAGGGUGAAAAAAGAGAACACUGGAUGCUGCUUAGAGCCACAGCCAUCUUUAUGAAUUGCUAUUUACUAAUUUCCUUUCCUUCUUGUCUCCAGGGAUCCUUGAAGGUGGCCGAGGUCAUCACAGCAGACUGCAAACUGAUUGAAGCCUCUGAGGAGUUGCUCAGGACAUGGAUGCCAUUUUCUAAAGUUUUUCUAUGUACAUUUGCAAGCAGAGUGGUAAAUCUUGCCUUCGUUAUGAAGAAAAGAAUGGGGAUGGGAGUGAAAUAG